UACACUCCUACGGGAGGCAGCAGUGGGGAAUUUUGGACAAUGGGCGAAAGCCUGAUCCAGCAAUGCCGCGUGAGUGAAGAAGGCCUUCGGGUUGUAAAGCUCUUUUGUCAGGGAAGAAACGGUGAAAGCUAAUAUCUUUUGCUAAUGACGGUACCUGAAGAAUAAGCACCGGCUAACUACGUGCCAGCAGCCGCGGUAAUACGUAGGGUGCAAGCGUUAAUCGGAAUUACUGGGCGUAAAGCGUGCGCAGGCGGUUUUGUAAGUCUGAUGUGAAAUCCCCGGGCUCAACCUGGGAAUUGCAUUGGAGACUGCAAGGCUAGAAUCUGGCAGAGGGGGGUAGAAUUCCACGUGUAGCAGUGAAAUGCGUAGAUAUGUGGAGGAACACCGAUGGCGAAGGCAGCCCCCUGGGUCAAGAUUGACGCUCAUGCACGAAAGCGUGGGGAGCAAACAGGAUUAGAUACCCGUGUAGUCC
Molecule: ribosomal RNA, 472 nt
Filed under: uncultured organism
Description: partial 16S ribosomal RNA
Rfam family: Bacterial small subunit ribosomal RNA
Source: RNAcentral